Long non-coding RNA from Panicum virgatum (switchgrass), 1771 nucleotides. RefSeq lists it as uncharacterized. NCBI's taxonomy places the organism in Eukaryota, Viridiplantae, Streptophyta, Magnoliopsida, Poales, Poaceae. The transcript has 10 exons. The record is from RefSeq and is a predicted model, not a curated record.
ACAUGUGCUUGCCUGCUGGCGAGGGCAACUCUGCAUGUGUGAAUUGCAUUGCUUGUUUUCUUUGGUGCAUUUUUUAAGAAUCUGAUUGGUGUACAUGUGCAUUCUUCACGACAUGAGUUCUUAACUUGUUGUGCAGGUGCUAAGCGAAGAUAUUAUUAUGUGUUUUUUGCAGGGAAGGAUCGUGAUUUACCCAAGAUAUUUUGGAGGGCAAUCACUGUGUCCUGGGUAGCAACCAUUUUGUUUAAACAUUGGUCUAGGUUCAGUGCUAAAAGGACCAUGCAGACUGCAGUGGGUGUUUUUGGUGGUAAAAAUUAUACUAAUGGAACAUUUCAUUACGUGCACCUUCACUAACUGUGGGCUCAGGGUGUACAAUCUGAACCAUCAAUUUGCUAUUUUUCCUCCAUAAACUGAAUUUCAAAAUAUUUUAUUAUGGAUAUAUUUAAUUGGGAUAAUACAAGCAUGUCUGAAAUCUGAGCAACUGAAUCUCUAGCUCUUCUGAAAAGCUGCUGCUAUUCACUCUUUGGGAUGGUUUGACAAGGCACAUCACAAGCAAAUAUUGGAGGAGCUACUACUUAAGCCUCGAGGAUUCAGAAGACACGGUUAUCACUUUAAUAGAACCUGAAAAAGAGUUCACAGAAGGAUGGAGGUGUGACAGUUCCAGAGAGAGAGUCUGCUUUGGAGGAGGCUGGUGCAAUGGAUGCGGUCUUGGUGAAUACACAUCAGUUCUACAGGUGGUUUGCAAAACUAGAGUCGGCUGUGAAAUCUGAGUUUUGUUUAAUGUCACUAUUUCUCUUGGCGACAGAAAGAUUAUGAUAACAUUGUUUGCUCACUCUGGAGACAUUGUUUAUUGACAGACAGAGGAGAAGUAUCGCCUCUAUGAGAAUACAUUAGAGGAGCGUGUCAACACAUGUGACAGCAUCUUGAAGCAAUUAAGGCUGCAAUUUUUUUUUGUUUCUUUAUGUUUAAAAAAAUCUGUACAGACGUAUACACCUUUGCCCUUUCAGUUUUAACCUUUUAAAGUGCAUCUCUACAGGUUGAUGAUACAUUGAACUUGUUUGAAGAACUACAGUCCUUGCACUCAAGUGUUGCCACGAAGACUAAAACUUUGCAUGAUGCUUGCGGCCAACUGGGAGCAUGUUUAUGUAGCCAUUCUGAUCAUUUCAUUAUGUUUGUGGAGAAAUAGGGGGCUACUUUUGUGCAAAGCUGAGCAAAUUCGUAGGAGAAUCUGAUGGAGCUGAUGAUCUUGGUCCCGUUGCAAAUAUUAUGGGAUCCUCAAUGAAGCGAACUAAUAUCAAAAUUUAAUUUGGAGGCAUUUAUGGAAUCAGAGUUUUAGUUUGGUAUUAUCUGAUUUAAUCUCGGCGCAUUCGAUGAUGCUACCAAUAUUGUUUGCAUAUCACUAUGACAGUAUCGAGUUUGCACCAUAUCCUGAUUUGGCAUCAUAAGGAUGCUGUUAGAAGUGAGAUAUUGAAUGGAAUAUUUGGUGGCAAAAAUAAUUGAGGUGUGGCGACCUGCUCACCCUUCCGGCCCAGUUCCGCGCUGCGGUACCGAAUGGACAACGCCAUUUGGUGAAGAUGACCCUUGGUAUGGAACCUCUCAUAUUUAACGGUCAUGUAUGUUAACUCACAUGCGGUGCUAAUUUUUAUUUACUGGCGAAGUGGCUAAUUUGUAAAAUUAUGAUUGUGAUUUCACUAUUUCACAACUGUUCAUGUUGGACUCAUGGUAUCUUGAAAAAGUAGCAUAGCUGCUGGCGAAAAUCAAGUUUUAAUUGUGA